Molecule: ribosomal RNA, 971 nt
Filed under: uncultured bacterium
Lineage: Bacteria
Description: bacterial SSU rRNA
Rfam family: Bacterial small subunit ribosomal RNA
Source: RNAcentral
GUAAUGUAUAGGUAACAUGCCUUCUACUAGGGGAUAACAGUUGGAAACGACUGCUAAUACCCUAUAUUCCUUAUUAGCACAAGUGUGUAAGGGAAAGAUUCAUUGGUAGAAGAUUGGCCUAUAUUGUAUCAGCUAGUUGGUAGUGUAAUGGACUACCAAGGCUAUGACGCAUAACUGGUUUGAGAGGAUGAUCAGUCACACUGGAACUGAGACACGGUCCAGACUCCUACGGGAGGCAGCAGUGGGGAAUAUUGCACAAUGGGCGAAAGCCUGAUGCAGCAACGCCGCGUGGAGGAUGACACAUUUCGGUGUGUAAACUCCUUUUAUGAGUCAAGAAAAUGACGGUAGCUCAUGAAUAAGCACCGGCUAACUCCGUGCCAGCAGCCGCGGUAAUACGGAGGGUGCAAGCGUUACUCGGAAUCACUGGGCGUAAAGGACGCGUAGGCGGGAUGUCAAGUCAGGUGUGAAAUCCUAUGGCUCAACCAUAGAACUGCAUUUGAAACUGGCAACCUAGAGUAUGGGAGGGGGAGAUGGAAUUAGUGGUGUAGGGGUAAAAUCCGUAGAUAUCACUAGGAAUACCUAAAGCGAAGGCGAUCUCCUGGAACAUAACUGACGCUAAGGCGUGAAAGCGUGGGGAGCAAACAGGAUUAGAUACCCUGGUAGUCCACGCCCUAAACGAUGAACACUAGUCGUCGUGAUGCUUGUCAGGGCGGUGAUGCACUUAACAGAUUAAGUGUUCCGCCUGGGGAGUACGGUCGCAAGAUUAAAACUCAAAGGAAUGGACGGGGACCCGCACAAGUGGUGGAGCAUGUGGUUUAAUUCGAAGAUACGCGAAGAACCUUACCUAGCCUUGACAUUGAUAGAAUACCCUAGAGAUAGAGUAGUGCCUUUCGGGGAACUUGAAAACAGGUGCUGCACGGCUGUCGCCAGCUCGUGUCGUGAGAUGUUGGGUUAAGUCCUGCAACGAGCGC